AAAAAAAAAACUCUAGUAAUUUACUGUGUGGGUGGAUCUUCUAUAAGGCACGUAACUAUAAUAUUCUAUCUCUUGUGAAUGACGGGCCUACACUUUCGAACUAGAAGCUGAAGUUGCAAAACUUAAGGAAAUAAACAGAGAAUUGGAAAGAAAACAGAAAUUAAGGAAAUGCAGAAAAACAAGGUAUGAUCUGUUUUGCAUAUGAAUCUCUGCCAAUGUUCUCUUCAUCAAAUGGCUCUUUCCUCACUUUUUUCUACUGGUUGACACCAAUAGAGAGAUUUACCAACAUAAAUUAUUUUUCAAUUUAUUUUCACAGUUUGAAAGCCAAAUAAACAUUUUUUAUUUGUUUAUCUAAGCAGGAUUCAGACCCUGCAUGCCAGCCAAGGGUAAGUAAAAUACAAUGCUUGAGAAGGACACUUACAGGACCAUGGUAGUGGUAGACAAUGUGAGUAGUUGUUUCUGAGUAACAGAUAUCCGAAGGAGAAAAUCAUUGUUGUGUCAUAAGAACCGGUGUAUGUUUGUGAACUGUGAGGUAAUUGCAGUUCAACACUAGAUAGGAUGGUAGCUAGCUAUUAUUAGUUUUAUGUAUAGGAACUAGGAGUGGUGAGUUGUACAUUAUUAAACAUGUAUAUUCAAAUAAUGAAUUAUUAUAUGUGCUUGAAUAUUAUUUUCUUUUCUAUUGCAGGAAGAUAAGAUAACUCAAUCUUAUUAAGCUAUCAUUUUAAGAUAUUAAUUGACGUGGGUCCCACCUGAAGUAUGAAUAAAAGAAUUGAAGGAAAGGGAUAAUAGUUUUAUUUGUUAAAGUACGUAGGGAAGGUUUAAACCCUUGCCCUCUCAAACAAUCACAGCACCCAUGGCUACCAUUCCACAAGCUUUUAUGCUGAAAGUAAUGUAC
Molecule: small RNA, 895 nt
Filed under: Vigna angularis var. angularis
Lineage: Eukaryota; Viridiplantae; Streptophyta; Magnoliopsida; Fabales; Fabaceae
Description: Non-protein coding transcript
Source: RNAcentral